This 253-nucleotide ribosomal RNA is filed under the name uncultured bacterium. RNAcentral describes it as "partial 16S ribosomal RNA". It matches the Rfam family "Bacterial small subunit ribosomal RNA", at positions 524 to 776 of the family's 1533-position model. The record is from RNAcentral.
UACGUAGGGGGCAAGCGUUGUCCGGAAUCAUUGGGCGUAAAGAGCGCGUAGGCGGCCUGGUAAGUCCGCUGUGAAAGUCCAGGGCUCAACCCUGGAAUGCCGGUGGAAACUGUCAGGCUCGAGUCCGGAAGAGGCGAGUGGAAUUCCUGGUGUAGCGGUGAAAUGCGCAGAUAUCAGGAGGAACACCAAUGGCGAAGGCAGCUCGCUGGGACGGUACUGACGCUGAGACGCGAAAGCGUGGGGAGCAAACAGG